This 2452-nucleotide long non-coding RNA is filed under the name Malus domestica (apple). RNAcentral describes it as "long non-coding RNA (MDOM_LNC020392)". Lineage: Eukaryota; Viridiplantae; Streptophyta; Magnoliopsida; Rosales; Rosaceae. The record is from RNAcentral.
UUCCUAAAUCUCAUUCAUACUCUGGCCAGAGAUUCUAAAUCAUAUCAUAGAGUAUUCUCCCCCAAACAGUUUGAAGGUUGGAGAUCCCUUGUUGCGCAUUCACUUGCCUCCAUAGCUAAGUGGCUUAACCCCAACGAUGCCGUGGACACCCGCGGAUGGGGUGACUUUAACAUAAUCAAAGAUCAAGGACUUAACCACAAGACAGCUGUGAUGCCUCAGGUCAAAGGACUAAUUUGCAUUAUCCCAACCAUGAGUUCUCAUGUGACAUGAAUAUGAGAACUCUUCGUUGAUCGUGUUCAGUGAACUCAUUCUCUAUUGAGCACCUACGUACUUGUCUUGAUGUCACACACACCAAUGACUCGAGACUAGUCACUCUCCCUGAGAGAAGACAAAGCACGUACUGAUCUUAACGGACUGUCAAUGCCCAAUUGGCAAUCCUAUGAUCAGGAACGUUUAGGAUGUGUUUACGAAAGAAUGGUCUCAUGAAUCUAACUUCUUUAGAUUGCAUUCUCCCAAUCACAUAUUCCUUGGACUUAUCGUUUAAGCAUAUAACAUUUAUAUGAGACGGCUCAAACAAUAAUGUUUGCCCUUGAUAUUAAACUAGAUUAGUUUAACAUGUGAAAUGUCCGUAAAGUAUCAUCAUAUGAUUGGUUUUAGGGCACAUUUCCAACAGCUUUUGCUUGAACUCCUUCGGUUUUUGCUAGUUGUUUAUCAAUUUUUGCUAGAAAAUUUAAUAAACUUGCUUCCUUCACUUUUCUUCAUCUUCGAUUCUUUUUGGCCUCCUUUGUCUCGGACAAAAUUGCACCUACAAAACAAUUACACUUUAGGGUCAAGGCCAAAAGCCCCACGCACCCACGAUGAAUGGGGCGGGGGCUUUGGCCGAAGAUCCUCCGAUGCCAAAAUUAGAAUUUAGGGAGAAAAGUGUUUUGAGAGUAUUUGAAAUUUUUGCUAGAGAAUUAGACACCCACUUUGAAGAAAAGAAAGGGGUUUAAAUAGAAGAGUGGCCGGCCUCUUAGGGUGGGAGAGGACGGGCCACUUAGCCUUGUUUGUGGGUUUUGUUCAUGAUUUAUGAUGAUUUUGGGAGUUAUGUGAUUAAUUGACUAAUUAAUUUAGCAAAAUAGGAUUAUUACCAAAUUAAUUAGCUAAUCAAUGGGAUGAAAUGGGUAAAUAUGGUGAGAUCAACUAGGAUGGCCGGCCCUUUGGGAGUUUUUGAUCUAAAAUGGAAGAUUUAAUUACCAAUUAACAUAUUGUUUAGGAAUAAAUAUAUUAAUUGGCUAAUUAAUAUUAUAAAAGGAAUGUAUUCAGGAAUUUAUGGUAUAAUUAGCUAAUCAAUUGAAUAAUAGAUUAGCUAAUCAAUGUCAAAAAAGGAAAAUUUUGGUGGAAAGGAGGAAAUGGUCAGCUUCCUUUGGAGAAGGGAUAUCCGGCUUUUAGGGUAAGUUUUGGGCUUAAUUGAUAAUUUAAUUGGUUGAUUAAUGAAUUAUUUAGAAAUUAAUUCAUUAAUUAACCAAUUAAUCUCCAUUUAUAUGGAAUAAUUUAGAGGUUUUGAAAUGAUUUUCUUGUAGAGAAUAUGGAGCAAAGAUGGAUGAGAUAAGUUUGAACUUAUUUACCUUUUUUGGGCGUUUUUGACUUGGUUGAGGAUGAUUGCCCGCUACCCAUGCGUAGGAAUCCUGAUACACCUCAAAGGUAUUUUUGUCUUCCUCAUCCAAAAAUCCACGUGUCGCUUUAUCAUUAUUUUUGGCUCCACAUCCGGGUAUUUGUGUAUUAUUUACCAAAACCAAAAAUGUAAAACAUCCAUCUAGCAUGCGCAGAUAUAUCCACGGCUUCACUAUAUAUUUGUGUUUACCUGGUGUUGUAAUAUUGACUGCAUCAUCUAUUUAAGUCAUGGAUAUUCUAUAUUUUAAUUAUUUGUUGACAUUGACACACAAUCAAGCCUUUUAUCUACAUUGUUGUUUGCAUACGUUUUCGUGAGAUCUACUUUAUAAUGUAUUUCAAUGACUUAAUCAUGUAUCUUUAAUGUCUUACUUAAAAAUUCAUGUUUACUAAAAAUCUUCCAAAUUCGAAACCAUAUAACCGUUGGAUUACAUUAGUGUUUCUUUGUAGAAUUUUAUUUGUCCGUUUUCUUCACUACAAAUGAAUAUCUUAAUGGAUUUGACUUUAUCUAAUUUCUUGGAAUGAUGAUGUAUGAAUGAUGCACUAAAAUGUAGAUGAUUCAGAUCGCUGAAAUACAUUACAAAAUGAACUUUAUAAAAUGAGUAUCAAAAUAUGUGUCAAAAGUGUAACAUCCCACAUCGCCCAGGGGAGUGAUCCUUAAAUGUAUAUUCACAUCCCUACCUAGCACGAGGCCUUUUGGGAGCUCACUGGCUUCGGGUUCCGUAGGAACUUCGAAGUUAAGCAAGAAAGGGGCCGGAGCACUCCCAGGAUGGGUGACCCACUGGGAAGUUGCUCGUGAGUU